AUUGCUGUGGCCCUGCAUCAUUUUAUUUUUUUGGAUAGCAAAUUGCAAAAACUGAUCAACAGUUGAAUGUGGAAUCCAGCUUUUGUAAUACUUGAUCAAUUUAAUAUGUAAUAGGAUGCAAAUGAUAAAAAAAUUGUCAAAUGCUAGAUUCGAUAAGACUCAAACACCUCAGAAGUCACCAAUUCAUUUGUUAUGUACUCAAAUGAAUAGCAUUCAUCAGACUUUUACCUGGACAUCGAGGCUGAAGAGAU
RNAcentral lists this unclassified non-coding RNA (251 nucleotides) under Hevea brasiliensis (rubber tree). The record is from RNAcentral. Lineage: Eukaryota; Viridiplantae; Streptophyta; Magnoliopsida; Malpighiales; Euphorbiaceae.